Molecule: ribosomal RNA, 500 nt
Filed under: uncultured bacterium
Lineage: Bacteria
Description: bacterial SSU rRNA
Rfam family: Bacterial small subunit ribosomal RNA
Source: RNAcentral
CGUGGGUAACCUGCCCAUCAGAGGGGGAUAACAUUCGGAAACGGAUGCUAAAACCGCAUAGGUCUUCGAACCGCAUGGUUUGAAGAGGAAAAGAGGCGCAAGCUUCUGCUGAUGGAUGGACCCGCGGUGCAUUAGCUAGUUGGUGAGGUAACGGCCCACCAAGGCGAUGAUCAGUAGCCGGUCUGAGAGGAUGAACGGCCACAUUGGGACUGAGACACGGCCCAGACUCCUACGGGAGGCAGCAGUGGGGAAUCUUCCGCAAUGGACGAAAGUCUGACGGAGCAACGCCGCGUGAGUGAUGACGGCCUUCGGGUUGUAAAGCUCUGUUAAUCGGGACGAAAGGCCUUCUUGCGAAUAGUUAGAAGGAUUGACGGUACCGGAAUAGAAAGCCACGGCUAACUACGUGCCAGCAGCCGCGGUAAUACGUAGGUGGCAAGCGUUGUCCGGAAUUAUUGGGCGUAAAGCGCGCGCAGGCGGAUCAGUCAGUCUGUCUUAAAAGU